Non-coding RNA from Linepithema humile (Argentine ant), 1509 nucleotides. The record is from RefSeq and is a predicted model, not a curated record. NCBI's taxonomy places the organism in Eukaryota, Metazoa, Arthropoda, Insecta, Hymenoptera, Formicidae.
UGCCACAUUCCUUUACAUCCCGCACAUGCCUCGACGUAAUGCGGUCAGUAGUGUCAUCCAUGCAUUGCAGAGCGCUCUAGAUACGACAGUAGAAAACUCUACAAUAUUUACAUGUGCGAGAACCGCCUUGUCGAAAUUGCAAACGGAGCAUAUACACGCCAUCAGCACAUCCAGCCGGAUGUAUCCAACAUUAAAAUCUAUCUCAGAUUUUCGUUGAUUUGCAAGGACACGAUGAGUGAUGCCAGGAAGCAUUGAUGCGAAUCCGCGGAAAAGCGGUGGUCUUCGCGCGGAGCAGCGCAGCACUCCGAACAUCAAGACACAAAAAAAACAUAAGAAAACGAAAACAAGCAAAAAAUUGUAUUCGACUUUAACGUGUGGCGACUUUAACGUUGAAGAGGAAGACACGUGGAAAGGCGUUUCUAAAAUUUUCCAACCAACGGAAGCACAAUAGGUACAAACGAAAUAAUAAUUUAUCGCACGAUAAAUGUCAAGAUGAGUCGGUCAUUUAUCAUAUUGCGCUCGUAUCUGUCGAAAAUCGUGUCGUUUAACAAAUAAAUAUACCUGGUCUAUGUGCAGAGCAGGUGGCAACGCAGUUGCGUCGUUGAUACACGCGGUCAAAAUUUAAGCGAGGGAUCGGACGCUUGCCAUCUGGGCCUUUGCCUACCGUGCAAGGUCCAUACGGUAUACUGACGGUAGUAUCAGUCUUGCAUGCCGCUGUUGCUCGUGAUUUCCAAAUAUAUAAAGCGAUAAGAAACGAAAUUCUAGAUCUUGCGUCGUAUUUAUAAUGUCAUAAUAUUUCCCAAUGCCAUGUCAAAUGAUUUAUCGAUAAUUCCUCAUGAUGUCUAUUAAAUAAUACGUCUAGUACUUAUACAAUAGUCACAAUUUAUGUCUGAAAGCAAUUUCUAUAUUAUACAAUGUUUCAAUUUAUAAUUUGAAACAUUUUUUAAAGCUUUUAAUUUUUGCUCGAGUUCUAAAUAAUUCUCAAAUUCUUCAUCUUUAUUCUAAGAUGAUACAUUCUAUGUUUAAGAAUUGAAUCAAUUAAAAAAUAUUUCACAGUAUUUCAUUUAUUUUGAUGAAGACUACAAACAUAUCACAGAAAGAGGCAAUAUUAGAAAGAUGUAGAGACAAACAACUCUCGAUCUUUCCUCAAUGUUUCUCCUACUUUCUUGAUAAUAUUUCGUUAUUGUUCUGCGUUGAUCGAAAACGACAUCGAUCAAACAUCGGCUUAUGAAGCGAAUACAUACAAUGCAAUUCUUUGCAAUUCUUUGCAAUUCUUUAACAAAUUUUGACCACAAUCGAAUGCAAUGUUAAUGUGAAAAUUUUCUACAUUAAAGACUAAAGGAAAAUGAUAGAUCACGAGCUAAUUAUAAAACGUAUUAAAGAAAUUUAUUUGUUAAAAAUGUUGAACUAUUUUUCUUCUUAAAUUUUCUAACGUCUUUCUGCCUUGAUCGUUACCUUCUGCUUUCCUAACUAAGAAGAAAAAGUCUUCUAAUUUUUCUAAAAAAGACU